Molecule: long non-coding RNA, 1067 nt
Filed under: Rhinopithecus bieti (black snub-nosed monkey)
Lineage: Eukaryota; Metazoa; Chordata; Mammalia; Primates; Cercopithecidae
Description: lncRNA (ENSRBIG00000046455.1)
Source: RNAcentral
UUCCAAAUAUUAACUGGUCUCGUGAGAUGUCUUCUUGGCUGCAGCCUGACCAUCUAACUUACUGUUUUUCCUCCAGCUGCUGCCUCCUGCUUUCCCUCUGCUGCAGGCUGGAAUGAAGGGCGGCGGGUGGCGCGGGGGAGGAGAAGGAGGAGCAGCAAAGUUGGCCAGGGUCCUGCUGGCUGGGGGCCAGGACUGCCUCCCUAAACAAGCAAGCAGGGGCGCAUACAGCCCUGGGUUGAGUUGUUGCCCUUAAUCAUCUGGCCACAGCAGGAAUAAGAGGCUCCCGGAAAACCCUGGCUCUUGGCUAUCUCUUCCAUGAGCACACCCUGGCCCUGGGGCCUGAGAUCUCUCCAUGCAGAGGCAGCCAUGAACUGCGGGGGCAGCAGCAAGGCUGGCCACACCACCCACCCCGCCACCUCCGGCCCCGCCGCUCAACCAGCCAUCAGUCCCUUAACUGCGAGUGUUCGUGGACCAUACAAAACAACCAACAGAUCCCAGCCAGCCUAGAAGCAGGCUCACAGUUUUCCAUGGAGGGCUUGGAUAGUAAACUGAUCCUGGAUGUUGGCGGCAUAUGCCACCUGAUCUACAUCAGCACCAUGAGGGCCUUUCCAGGUAGAAAUUCGAACAGCUUAGAGAAAUGAAGAGCAGGCUGAGUGUGGUGGCUCACGCCUGUAAUCCCACCACCUUGGGAGACCGAGGCAGAUGGAACAUCUGAGGUCAGGAGUUCAGCAGCUCCAGACCAGCCAGGGCAACAUGGUGAAAUCCUGUCUCUACUAAAAAUACAAAAAAUUAGCCGGACGUGGUGGUGGGCACCUGUAAUCCCAGCUACUCGGGAGGCUGUGGCAGGAGAAUUGCUUGAACCCAGGAGGUGGUGGAGACUGUAGUGAGCCGAGAUCUCGCCAUUGCACUCCAGGCUGGGCGACAAGAGCAAAACUCCAUCUCAAAAGAAAAAAGAAAAAAAAAAGAAAGAAAGAAAAGGAAAGGAAAGGAAAGAAAAGAAAAGAAAAAGAAAAGAAAAGAAAAGAAAAGAAAAGAAAAGAAAAGAAAAGAAGAGAUGAAAAGAAAAG